This 347-nucleotide non-coding RNA is filed under the name Betaphycus gelatinus. Lineage: Eukaryota; Rhodophyta; Florideophyceae; Gigartinales; Solieriaceae. The record is from RNAcentral.
GGGACUGUUAGGUUUCUACAUAUAAUACAAAAUGUUUAGAUAAUAGGGAACAAAUAAAAGUUAAACUUGAUAGUUUUUAGUCUCAAAGUAAAUGCAAAACAUCAAAUAAUUCCUUUCUCUAAAAAUAUUGUAUUAGUAUAAUCAUUUCUCAUAUUAUUGAUUCGAUAUUUCUUAGAAUAUUAUAAAAUAAAUUUCAUGUUAUUUUAUAGUCAGUCAAUUAAUGAAUGCGCUUAUAAAUUUUGAAAAUAAGCUAAGUUUUAACAAAUUAGACCUUUUCCCUUUUACUUAGAUAUAUCAAGUAAGCUUCACAUCUUGUUUUAAUAUGGACGUGGGUUCAAAUCCCACCA